AAACUGCGAUAAUUAAUGUGAAUUGCAGAAUUCUGUGAAUCAUCAAGACCUUGAACGCAAACUGCGCCUACGGGUCCACCUGUAGGCACGCUUGUUUGAGUGUCGAUUUAUAUUUCACUAUCCUUCUUUAUUACUCGUAAUGAAGAAGGGAAUUGGAGGUGUGGUUUGCGCAAUAUUCGAACCACUCCUUUUAAGUUUAUCUUUCCAACUUUUUUUGCUUUUCAAAACGAUCAUCUUAGCAAAAGAGGUCCAGCCAGUAGGUACCAAUACGUUGGUUUCUCGAAAACUCACAUCUCUCUUUGUUCUAACUUGACAUACGUUUCGGAGUGAAAGUUUCUUUUAUACCCUUUGCGGUACAAAAGAAGGGUUGGGAAUUAUAAGGAAAGGAUGAACUUUUCUCGUUCAUCACUACAAAACUCACCUAUUCGACCUCAAAUCAAGUGGGAUUACCCGCUGAAUUUAAGC
Molecule: unclassified non-coding RNA, 465 nt
Filed under: plant metagenome
Description: partial contains internal transcribed spacer 2 and large subunit ribosomal RNA
Rfam family: 5.8S ribosomal RNA (bases 1-105)
Source: RNAcentral